Molecule: unclassified non-coding RNA, 431 nt
Filed under: Bifidobacterium bombi
Lineage: Bacteria; Bacillati; Actinomycetota; Actinomycetes; Bifidobacteriales; Bifidobacteriaceae
Description: partial 16S-23S ribosomal RNA
Source: RNAcentral
CCUUUCUACGGAGAAUUCAGGUCGGUGUUUGCCGGCCGGUGUCGGACGCUGCCCGAUGUUCGGGUGGUUUGUCCUGCUGGUGUGGAAACAGUCAUGGAUGUUCUUCUUGUGGUAUGGGCAUGCUUUUGGGUUCCCGGAUCGUCACCCCGUCCUUCGGGGCGGUGCGGUCUGUGCCCUUCCGGUUGCGGUGGUCUUGGUUGGCUGUGCGUGGCUGGUUGGUGUGCGGUGGUUUGAGAACUGGAUAGUGGACGCGAGCAGGAACGGUUGAGGCCGUUCUUGUUUAGUGAUGCAAUUUUUAAUGGCUGGGCCCUGUUUCUAAAGGGGGUCCGGUCGAUCGUUUUGUGAUCAUUUUGUGCGAUAGUAAUAGUGUUGUCUGGUGUUUUUCGUAUGUAGGUCCUGUGGCGUGCAUUCCUUUGUGUUUGUGUGGGGUG